Molecule: long non-coding RNA, 465 nt
Organism: Ornithodoros turicata
Lineage: Eukaryota; Metazoa; Arthropoda; Arachnida; Ixodida; Argasidae
Exons: 3
Source: RefSeq, a predicted model, not a curated record
AGCUCGAUCUACAGAUUUUUCGGACUCGGAUCUACGGAUAAAUCUUUUUUUGCAUGUGGCAACACUGCUAGCAACGUUGGGUACCUCGUUUCUUGUGUGAGCGAGUGGUUGCUGUUUACGACGUGUUCAUAUAUCGAUUUGUAGUGCUGUAAUGUGCAAAUUAGCGGACUUUAUAGCGGCUCUCUAUUUUCCGUCGUUGUUUUUCGAGCAGCGCCUGUUGUUCCGGUAAAAAUCGAGUUGAAUGAAUCGCCACAGCCCCAACGUAUAUCGCGCAGUGUUGACCAAGACCAAGACAAGCAGGAAUUCUGGCAUGGUAUGUGGCUGCACGGAGGAUUCCGAAAAAGAAAAACAACAACGUGGCUAAUAGGAUGUUGCUGCCCAGGGAGUCCUGGCCGAAGAGGUUUACUCAUUCCAGAAGCAAGAAUUGUACCAUUGUAAGGCGAAUGGAAAUAAACUGACAUCGAC